ACUCUGGAGAGUCUCACAGAACGAGCGCCGAAGGUGUACGGCAGGUAUUCCUGCCAAUCUCUCAGGCAAAAGGACAGAGGUA
RNAcentral lists this non-coding RNA (82 nucleotides) under pig gut metagenome. RNAcentral's name for it is "Glycine riboswitch". It matches the Rfam family "Glycine riboswitch aptamer", at positions 9 to 86 of the family's 94-position model. Rfam says of the family: This family represents the bacterial glycine riboswitch. Glycine riboswitches usually consist of two metabolite-binding aptamers domains with similar structures in tandem. The record is from RNAcentral.